Apaloderma vittatum (bar-tailed trogon) is the source of this 74-nucleotide non-coding RNA. NCBI's taxonomy places the organism in Eukaryota, Metazoa, Chordata, Aves, Trogoniformes, Trogonidae. The record is from Rfam.
GGUCCGGUUAGCUCAGUCAGUUGAGCAUGGCACUGACAACAUCAAGGCUGCGGGUUUGAUCCCCGUUCGGUCCC